Molecule: RNA transcript, 1357 nt
Organism: Setaria italica (foxtail millet)
Lineage: Eukaryota; Viridiplantae; Streptophyta; Magnoliopsida; Poales; Poaceae
Exons: 4
Source: RefSeq, a predicted model, not a curated record
UCUCCCCCCACCCCGCAGUCGCACAACAGCAGAUUGGAGGAGUUGGGGAAAGGAAGCGGCGCCACCUCGUCGUCCUCGCCUAAAACCCUCGCCUCCCUCCACCGGUUUCCCUCCUCUCCUCCACCCGACGACGUCUGGGCGAGCAAUCGGUUCAUCUCAAGGCUCGCGAGGCGAUGGUGGACGCGUGGUGGCCCCUGCUGGGCGCGGCGAUCCCGGCGCUGGUGGCGGGCCAGUUCAUCCGCAUCAAGCGCCGCCGCGACGAGGAGCAGCGCCUCAAGGCGGCGCGCGGCCGCGAGAAGAGCUCCGACGAGGUCUUCGUCUGCGAGCGCGUCUGCACCUCCAAGCGGAUGCUCAAGAAGGUGGGGGCCUUCUCCAAGGACCCCAUCCCGGAGACCUGCGUCACCGUCUGCGGCGUCUCCGAGCUCGACGCCUGCGCCGACGCCUGCGCGCGCACCGUCUGCGUCAACCAGCACCAGGUGCCCAACUGGAACGACGUCUGCCUCAAGAGGUGCCAGAGCGAGUGCCUCAAGCUCUCCUCAACCCUCAUGUAGUGGCCCUCUCGCACUUGUGCUGCGGCUCCUUAGGGGUGGCGGUUUCGUGGAUGUUGCACACAGACAUCUAUCACCCUUCACAGUUUAAGCUAAGAAGCCUGAAAUCCUAGAGGUGUGGUUUCUAAGGUUUCAGGGAGUUAAUUUGUGAGCAUUGUUAGAGACUAAUCUCUUGUUGGAGUUUCAACUUUCUGGUGCAAAGUGCAAACACCCAAGAAUUCAGAAAGCAAUACCAGUACCAUCUUCAAAUCACCAUGUAUCCAGGUAGGAGAAAAACAGGUGGGUCGAUUAGUUAACCUUUCUAACUCAGUACAAAUAUGGUUUUCUGAAUUUUUUCUUUGGGCUGUAUUAGCCUAACAGGCAAGUUGUCUUUCUUAAAUCUGAGAACCAGGUCAGUGAUUCAAGUAUAAAGAACAGUGAUGGUUGUGGUAGUUUAGGGAUUGGGGGACAGUAAACUGCUACUAGUUUCAAGCUGUAGGAGAGAUCCAUUAGUGUAAAUCUUUAUUAGUAGAUUGCAAUUAACUCCUUUUAAUCUAUUUGGACAUUUUUUAUGUUUUUGGUUGCAUCUGUCCCAAGUUUCUUACGAACCACUAGGUGAUGCGUAUCUAGAUGACAGGGAAGCACUUAUCCUGCAUUGGUGACAAGGCAUACCUAAGUACCCUCACCUAAACCUUAUUGCCUGAAGGACAUUGCAUUGCAUCUGUCAAAUUUCAGUGGGUUAAACAUUGAUGGUGGUUUACUUAACCAUCUUGGUAAUAGGUUCUCAUGCAAGGGGUUACAAAAAUGAAUGCAAGGGGUUACAGAAUGAA